This 269-nucleotide ribosomal RNA is filed under the name uncultured bacterium. Its description in RNAcentral is "partial 16S ribosomal RNA". It matches the Rfam family "Bacterial small subunit ribosomal RNA", at positions 85 to 354 of the family's 1533-position model. The record is from RNAcentral.
UUAUAGUUUAGUGGCGGACGGGUGAGUAACACGUGAGCAACCUGCCUUCGAGAGGGGAAUAACGGCUGGAAACGGUCGCUAAUACCGCAUAACAUACAGGAGGGACAUCCCUUUUGUAUCAAAGAUUUAUCGCUCGAAGAUGGGCUCGCGUCCGAUUAGGUAGUUGGUGAGGUAACGGCCCACCAAGCCGACGAUCGGUAGCCGGACUGAAAGGUUGAACGGCCACAUUGGGACUGAGACACGGCCCAGACUCCUACGGAAGGCAGCAG